This 645-nucleotide ribosomal RNA is filed under the name uncultured bacterium. RNAcentral describes it as "bacterial SSU rRNA". It matches the Rfam family "Bacterial small subunit ribosomal RNA", at positions 143 to 807 of the family's 1533-position model. The record is from RNAcentral.
AUAACAGCUGGAAACGGUGUUAAUGCCGCAUAAGCGCACAGAGCUGCAUGGCUCGGUGUGAAAAACUCCGGUGGUAUGGGAUGGGCCCGCGUCUGAUUAGGCAGUUGGCGGGGUAACGGCCCACCAAACCGACGAUCAGUAGCCGGCCUGAGAGGGCGACCGGCCACAUUGGGACUGAGACACGGCCCAAACUCCUACGGGAGGCAGCAGUGGGGAAUAUUGCACAAUGGGGGAAACCCUGAUGCAGCGACGCCGCGUGAGCGAAGAAGUAUUUCGGUAUGUAAAGCUCUAUCAGCAGGGAAGAUAAUGACGGUACCUGACUAAGAAGCCCCGGCUAACUACGUGCCAGCAGCCGCGGUAAUACGUAGGGGGCAAGCGUUAUCCGGAUUUACUGGGUGUAAAGGGAGCGUAGACGGCAAGGCAAGUCUGAUGUGAAAACCCAGGGCUUAACCCUGGGACUGCAUUGGAAACUGUCUGGCUCGAGUGCCGGAGAGGUAAGCGGAAUUCCUAGUGUAGCGGUGAAAUGCGUAGAUAUUAGGAAGAACACCAGUGGCGAAGGCGGCUUACUGGACGGUAACUGACGUUGAGGCUCGAAAGCGUGGGGAGCAAACAGGAUUAGAUACCCUGGUAGUCCACGCCGUAAAC